Molecule: ribosomal RNA, 464 nt
Filed under: uncultured bacterium
Lineage: Bacteria
Description: bacterial SSU rRNA
Rfam family: Bacterial small subunit ribosomal RNA
Source: RNAcentral
GGACCCGCACAAGCGGUGGAGCAUGUGGUUUAAUUCGAAGCAACGCGAAGAACCUUACCAGCUCUUGACAUCUUCUGACAGCUCUAGAGAUAGAGUGUUCCCUUCGGGGACAGAAUGACAGGUGGUGCAUGGUUGUCGUCAGCUCGUGUCGUGAGAUGUUGGGUUAAGUCCCGUAACGAGCGCAACCCUUGUUGUCAGUUGCCAGCAUUUAGUUGGGCACUCUGGCGAGACUGCCGGUGACAAACCGGAGGAAGGUGGGGAUGACGUCAAAUCAGCAUGCCCCUUAUGAGCUGGGCUACACACGUGCUACAAUGGAUGGUACAGCGAGUCGCUAAACCGCGAGGUCAAGCAAAUCUCCUAAAGCCAUUCUCAGUCCGGAUUGCAGGCUGCAACUCGCCUGCAUGAAGCCGGAAUCGCUAGUAAUCGUGGAUCAGAACGCCACGGUGAAUACGUUCCCGGGUCUU